GAAGUUAUGUUAUAUGAAUAAAGCUAGCAAAUAGUUUAAUUGCAAACAGACAAUUAAGCAGGAUACAGGUUGGUACUUAGUAUUGUGCAAUUACUCAAAUAUUUAUUUCGUGUUUGCAUUUAAAUAAAGGUAUUCCUGAAACAAUGUUAGAGUCCAAUUAAGUCUGUAACAUAGUUUUAUAACAAACAUUGCGGUUCAAUAAAAAAGUACAGACACACA
RNAcentral lists this long non-coding RNA (219 nucleotides) under Mytilus galloprovincialis (Mediterranean mussel). Lineage: Eukaryota; Metazoa; Mollusca; Bivalvia; Mytilida; Mytilidae. The record is from RNAcentral.